UACGAAGGGUGCAAGCGUUACUCGGAAUUACUGGGCGUAAAGCGUGCGUAGGCGGUUUGUUAAGUCCGUUGUGAAAGCCCUGGGCUCAACCUGGGAAUUGCAGUGGAUACUGGCGAGCUAGAGUGCGGUAGAGGAUGGUGGAAUUCCCGGUGUAGCGGUGAAAUGCGUAGAGAUCGGUAGGAACACCAAUGGCGAAGGCAGCUUGCUGGCAGUGUAUCUGGACGCUAAGGCACGAAAGCGUGGGGAGCGAACAGG
This 255-nucleotide ribosomal RNA is filed under the name uncultured bacterium. RNAcentral describes it as "partial 16S ribosomal RNA". It matches the Rfam family "Bacterial small subunit ribosomal RNA", at positions 524 to 776 of the family's 1533-position model. The record is from RNAcentral.